GGGUUGUGAGGUUAAGCGACUAAGCGUACACGGUGGAUGCCCUGGCAGUCAGAGGCGAUGAAGGACGUGCUAAUCUGCGAUAAGCGUCGGUAAGGUGAUAUGAACCGUUAUAACCGGCGAUUUCCGAAUGGGGAAACCCAGUGUGAUUCGUCACACUAUCAUUAACUGAAUCCAUAGGUUAAUGAGGCGAACCGGGGGAACUGAAACAUCUAAGUACCCCGAGGAAAAGAAAUCAACCGAGAUUCCCCCAGUAGCGGCGAGCGAACGGGGAGCAGCCCAGAGCCUGAAUCAGUGUGUGUGUUAGUGGAAGCGUCUGGAAAGGCGCGCGAUACAGGGUGACAGCCCCGUACACAAAAAUGCACAUACUGUGAGCUCGAUGAGUAGGGCGGGACACGUGGUAUCCUGUCUGAAUAUGGGGGGACCAUCCUCCAAGGCUAAAUACUCCUGACUGACCGAUAGUGAACCAGUACCGUGAGGGAAAGGCGAAAAGAACCCCGGCGAGGGGAGUGAAAAAGAACCUGAAACCGUGUACGUACAAGCAGUGGGAGCACGCUUAGGCGUGUGACUGCGUACCUUUUGUAUAAUGGGUCAGCGACUUAUAUUCUGUAGCAAGGUUAACCGAAUAGGGGAGCCGAAGGGAAACCGAGUCUUAACUGGGCGUUAAGUUGCAGGGUAUAGACCCGAAACCCGGUGAUCUAGCCAUGGGCAGGUUGAAGGUUGGGUAACACUAACUGGAGGACCGAACCGACUAAUGUUGAAAAAUUAGCGGAUGACUUGUGGCUGGGGGUGAAAGGCCAAUCAAACCGGGAGAUAGCUGGUUCUCCCCGAAAGCUAUUUAGGUAGCGCCUCGUGAAUUCAUCUCCGGGGGUAGAGCACUGUUUCGGCAAGGGGGUCAUCCCGACUUACCAACCCGAUGCAAACUGCGAAUACCGGAGAAUGUUAUCACGGGAGACACACGGCGGGUGCUAACGUCCGUCGUGAAGAGGGAAACAACCCAGACCGCCAGCUAAGGUCCCAAAGUCAUGGUUAAGUGGGAAACGAUGUGGGAAGGCCCAGACAGCCAGGAUGUUGGCUUAGAAGCAGCCAUCAUUUAAAGAAAGCGUAAUAGCUCACUGGUCGAGUCGGCCUGCGCGGAAGAUGUAACGGGGCUAAACCAUGCACCGAAGCUGCGGCAGCGACGCUGAUGCGUUGUUGGGUAGGGGAGCGUUCUGUAAGCCUGCGAAGGUGUGCUGUGAGGCAUGCUGGAGGUAUCAGAAGUGCGAAUGCUGACAUAAGUAACGAUAAAGCGGGUGAAAAGCCCGCUCGCCGGAAGACCAAGGGUUCCUGUCCAACGUUAAUCGGGGCAGGGUGAGUCGACCCCUAAGGCGAGGCCGAAAGGCGUAGUCGAUGGGAAACAGGUUAAUAUUCCUGUACUUGGUGUUACUGCGAAGGGGGGACGGAGAAGGCUAUGUUGGCCGGGCGACGGUUGUCCCGGUUUAAGCGUGUAGGCUGGUUUUCCAGGCAAAUCCGGAAAAUCAAGGCUGAGGCGUGAUGACGAGGCACUACGGUGCUGAAGCAACAAAUGCCCUGCUUCCAGGAAAAGCCUCUAAGCAUCAGGUAACAUCAAAUCGUACCCCAAACCGACACAGGUGGUCAGGUAGAGAAUACCAAGGCGCUUGAGAGAACUCGGGUGAAGGAACUAGGCAAAAUGGUGCCGUAACUUCGGGAGAAGGCACGCUGAUAUGUAGGUGAAGCGACUUGCUCGUGGAGCUGAAAUCAGUCGAAGAUACCAGCUGGCUGCAACUGUUUAUUAAAAACACAGCACUGUGCAAACACGAAAGUGGACGUAUACGGUGUGACGCCUGCCCGGUGCCGGAAGGUUAAUUGAUGGGGUCAGCGCAAGCGAAGCUCUUGAUCGAAGCCCCGGUAAACGGCGGCCGUAACUAUAACGGUCCUAAGGUAGCGAAAUUCCUUGUCGGGUAAGUUCCGACCUGCACGAAUGGCGUAAUGAUGGCCAGGCUGUCUCCACCCGAGACUCAGUGAAAUUGAACUCGCUGUGAAGAUGCAGUGUACCCGCGGCAAGACGGAAAGACCCCGUGAACCUUUACUAUAGCUUGACACUGAACAUUGAGCCUUGAUGUGUAGGAUAGGUGGGAGGCUUUGAAGUGUGGACGCCAGUCUGCAUGGAGCCGACCUUGAAAUACCACCCUUUAAUGUUUGAUGUUCUAACGUUGACCCGUGAUCCGGGUUGCGGACAGUGUCUGGUGGGUAGUUUGACUGGGGCGGUCUCCUCCUAAAGAGUAACGGAGGAGCACGAAGGUUGGCUAAUCCUGGUCGGACAUCAGGAGGUUAGUGCAAUGGCAUAAGCCAGCUUGACUGCGAGCGUGACGGCGCGAGCAGGUGCGAAAGCAGGUCAUAGUGAUCCGGUGGUUCUGAAUGGAAGGGCCAUCGCUCAACGGAUAAAAGGUACUCCGGGGAUAACAGGCUGAUACCGCCCAAGAGUUCAUAUCGACGGCGGUGUUUGGCACCUCGAUGUCGGCUCAUCACAUCCUGGGGCUGAAGUAGGUCCCAAGGGUAUGGCUGUUCGCCAUUUAAAGUGGUACGCGAGCUGGGUUUAGAACGUCGUGAGACAGUUCGGUCCCUAUCUGCCGUGGGCGCUGGAGAACUGAGGGGGGCUGCUCCUAGUACGAGAGGACCGGAGUGGACGCAUCACUGGUGUUCGGGUUGUCAUGCCAAUGGCACUGCCCGGUAGCUAAAUGCGGAAGAGAUAAGUGCUGAAAGCAUCUAAGCACGAAACUUGCCCCGAGAUGAGUUCUCCCUGACUCCUUGAGAGUCCUGAAGGAACGUUGAAGACGACGACGUUGAUAGGCCGGGUGUGUAAGCGCAGCGAUGCGUUGAGCUAACCGGUACUAAUGAACCGUGAGGCUUAACCUUACAACGCCGAAGCUGUU
RNAcentral lists this ribosomal RNA (2930 nucleotides) under Escherichia coli O121:H19. RNAcentral's name for it is "23S ribosomal RNA". It matches the Rfam family "Bacterial large subunit ribosomal RNA". The record is from RNAcentral. Lineage: Bacteria; Pseudomonadati; Pseudomonadota; Gammaproteobacteria; Enterobacterales; Enterobacteriaceae. RNAcentral also lists the same sequence under 1 other name.